GCAGUAGCCACGGUAAUACAGAGGGUGCGAGCGUUAAUCGGAUUUACUGGGCGUAAAGCGUGCGUAGGCGGCUAAUUGAGUCGGAUGUGAAAUCCCCGAGCUUAACUUGGGAAUUGCAUUCGAUACUGGUUAGCUAGAGUGUGGGAGAGGAUGGUAGAAUUCCAGGUGUAGCGGUGAAAUGCGUAGAGAUCUGGAGGAAUACCGAUGGCGAAGGCAGCCAUCUGGCCUAACACUGACGCUGAGGUACGAAAGCAUGGGGAGCAAACAGGAUUAGAUACCCGCGUAGUCCCUGUCUCUUAUAC
This 302-nucleotide ribosomal RNA is filed under the name uncultured bacterium. RNAcentral's name for it is "partial 16S ribosomal RNA". It matches the Rfam family "Bacterial small subunit ribosomal RNA", at positions 508 to 807 of the family's 1533-position model. The record is from RNAcentral.